Cavia porcellus (domestic guinea pig) is the source of this 137-nucleotide small nucleolar RNA. The record is from Ensembl. Lineage: Eukaryota; Metazoa; Chordata; Mammalia; Rodentia; Caviidae.
AUGGCCCUGCAUCAAGGAUGGCAGUUUUCUGAAGCUGUUGGUUUCAAGCAGAAGCCUAAAGUGGUAUCUUUCUAUGAUCUGUUAGCCAUUUCAUAACUUUAGAAAUAUAAUGGUUAAUUAGUUAGAAAGAAACAAAA